This is a long non-coding RNA of Amphimedon queenslandica, 241 nucleotides long. RefSeq lists it as uncharacterized. The record is from RefSeq and is a predicted model, not a curated record. Lineage: Eukaryota; Metazoa; Porifera; Demospongiae; Haplosclerida; Niphatidae. The transcript is spliced from 2 exons.
UCAGUAACUAACUUAAAUACAUUUACUGUUAAUGUAUCACUGAGUAAUAAUGGAGGAACAUUUAAUGAUAUGUCAUCUUUUGGGUUUAGUUUUCUUGGACCAGUUACUAACAUUGACUCUUCAAUUGACAACUGUUCUACUAUUGAUAUAACAUGGACUGCUCCUACAGUUGAUGAUAGAGUAUCUAUACUGUAUUACAUACUAAGAAUAUAUGAUGCUGUUACUGGUAGCCUAGUGGAUA